This 451-nucleotide ribosomal RNA is filed under the name Candidatus Anaplasma amazonensis. RNAcentral's name for it is "partial 16S ribosomal RNA". It matches the Rfam family "Bacterial small subunit ribosomal RNA", at positions 112 to 598 of the family's 1533-position model. RNAcentral also lists the same sequence under 1 other name. The record is from RNAcentral. Lineage: Bacteria; Pseudomonadati; Pseudomonadota; Alphaproteobacteria; Rickettsiales; Anaplasmataceae.
AAUGCAUAGGAAUCUGCCUAGUAGUAUGGGAUAGCCACUAGAAAUGGUGGGUAAUACUGUAUAAUCCCUGCGGGGGAAAGAUUUAUCGCUACUGGAUGAGCCUAUGUUAGAUUAGCUAGUUGGUGGGGUAAUGGCCUACCAAGGCUGUGAUCUAUAGCUGGUCUGAGAGGAUGAUCAGCCACACUGGAACUGAGACACGGUCCAGACUCCUACGGGAGGCAGCAGUGGGGAAUAUUGGACAAUGGGCGCAAGCCUGAUCCAGCUAUGCCGCGUGAGUGAGGAAGGCCUUAGGGUUGUAAAACUCUUUCAGCAGGGAAGAUAAUGACGGUACCUGCAGAAGAAGUCCCGGCAAACUCCGUGCCAGCAGCCGCGGUAAUACGGAGGGGGCAAGCGUUGUUCGGAAUUAUUGGGCGUAAAGGGCAUGUAGGCGGUUUGGUAAGUUAAAGGUGAA